RNA transcript from Sphaeramia orbicularis (orbiculate cardinalfish), 1621 nucleotides. RefSeq lists it as uncharacterized. The record is from RefSeq and is a predicted model, not a curated record. The transcript is spliced from 6 exons. Lineage: Eukaryota; Metazoa; Chordata; Actinopteri; Kurtiformes; Apogonidae.
GUCAGACUGGUUCUCAGUUCAGACACACACCUUCUGCUGUGGACUUCAGUGUUUGUCAUGGUCCAGGUCCGUUUGGCUGCUUUUACUUCUGUGUGCUGGUUCUGGAUCCUCAUAAACUGUCUGAGUUUGGUCUUCUUCUCUCCUGUCAGAGGUCAGAUCCAGGUCCUCAGUCCACAUGAGCCAGUCAGAGCUGCUCCAGGGGAGGACGCUGUCCUGAAGUGCCUCGUGGAUCCUAAAUUUGACAUUGGGGGUAAGACGGUGGAGUGGUCCAAGUUGGACCUGAAGGUGAACCCGGCGGACCCAUCGUAUGUGUACCUGUACCGAAACCGACGUGAAGACGUGCUCCUGAUGUUCCCGUCGUAUGUUGGGAGAACGAAGCUCUUCACUGAGGCUCUCAAAGAUGGGAACAUACUGCUCCUGAUCAAGAAUGUCACACUGGCAGAUAACGGACAAUACAGAUGUUUCAUCCCAGACUUAAAGAGCACCUCCCGACAGUCUACUGUGACGCUUGUUGUUGAUCCAAACUAUGCUAAAAUGACCACAACAGAGAUGCCACUGGAACCGAGCAGUUUCCAGACUGUAGAACCGAUCACAGACACACCUGGAAAAGGUCAACGGCAUCAUCUGAUACCUAUCGUCAUACUUGCUACUUUACUAAUCCUGGUGUUCGGUGUUGGACCACUUGGAUACUUAUUUCUUCAGAUGAAACACCAAACUUGUCAUCACAUUGCACAAAUCCAUGCCUAGGUGCCUUGCUCAACCUGACUUUGCCAGUUGAUGUUAAGAGACUGAGGAGUCGAACUAGCAACCUCUCCAUCUGCAGGCGGACUGUGGUGGAUCAGUAGACCGCAGCAGAAAUAAAUCUCACCUUUCUGUUCCUGGCUGCGUCCACCACCAGAGGCCGGCAGAUUCCCAAACUAAAACAGACUCCUUUUGAAGUCCACCUGGAUUUAAAUUGAAUUCUCCUUCAGCUUGUUUUGGCUUCCAGUCUGGAGAAGGAACUGUGCCAGACCCUGCAGUCCCCCUGUAGUUAAAGGGAUCGGCCAAGAACUGCAAUGAACAUUAGCCUUUUGGUUUUUCAGGGAAGAGAUGAAGAUCACCGUGGUUGCAGGUCUGCCACGACUGUAGAUCAUAAUUUCUGUUUCGGCCUUGAUUGUUGAGGAUGUUCCAACGUGUAACCACAGAUAUCCAUAAGAUUUCCGUGGAUUUUUGGCCUUGAUGUUCUUAAAACUCCAGGCGAGUAUAUUUAUUUAUUUAUUUAAAGACUGUAAAAUCAGAGACAGUGCUUUUAUUUUAGCUCCAGUCUUUUUUUUUUUUUCUUUUACAGUGUAAAAGAUUAGUUCCUACUGGAGCAGCUCAGGCAGCUCUGUCAUCCAAAUUGGACCUUUAGGUGAUAACAUGAAGGACUCUUAUUGCAUAGUGCAGUCUUCUUCUUUUAUUUAUGUUUGUGAAAUAAACCCAGGAUUUCAUCGUCACAAGAGAUUCCAACUGAAGUGUCUACAUCACAGGUGUCAAACAUGUGUCCCGGGGUCCAAAACCGGCCCACCAAAGGUUCCAAUCUGGCCCGUGGGAUGAGUUUACAAAGUGCAGAAGAUAUUAACAGUCAAGGGCGUCAAACUGG